RNAcentral lists this ribosomal RNA (492 nucleotides) under uncultured bacterium. RNAcentral's name for it is "partial 16S ribosomal RNA". It matches the Rfam family "Bacterial small subunit ribosomal RNA", at positions 29 to 507 of the family's 1533-position model. The record is from RNAcentral.
AGUGAACGCUGGCGGUAUGCCUAACACAUGCAAGUCGAACGGCAGCACAGUAAUAGCUUGCUCUUACGGUUGGCGAGGGGCGGACGGGUGAUGGAUACAUCGGAAUCUACUUUUUCGUGGGGGAUAACGUAGGGAAACUUACGCGAAUACCGCAUACUACCUACGGGUGAAAGCAGGGGAUCUUCGGACCUUGCGCGAGUUAAUGGGCCGAUGGCUGAUUAGCUAGUUGGCGGGGUAAAGGCCCACCAAGGCGACGAUCCGUAGCUGGUCUGGGAGGAUGAUCAGCCCCACUGGAACUGGGCCACGGUCCAGACUCCUAGGGGAGGCAGAAGUGGGGACUAUUGGACAAUGGGCGCAAGCCUGAUCCAGCCAUACAGCGUGGGUGAAGAAGGCCUUCGGGUUGUAAAGCCCUUUUGUUGGGAAAGAAAAGCAGCAGGUUAAUACACGGCUGUUCUGACGGUACCUAAAGAAUAAGCACCGGCUAACUUCGUG